Molecule: ribosomal RNA, 974 nt
Filed under: human gut metagenome
Description: bacterial LSU rRNA
Rfam family: Bacterial large subunit ribosomal RNA
Source: RNAcentral
UAACGGUCCUAAGGUAGCGAAAUUCCUUGUCGGGUAAGUUCCGACCUGCACGAAAGGCGCAACGACUUGGGCGCUGUCUCGACCAUGGACCCGGUGAAAUUGCACUGGUCGUGAAGAUGCGACUUACCCGCGGAAGGACGGAAAGACCCCGUGAACCUUCACUGCAGCUUGGCAUUGGCCGCUGGUCCCGCGUGUAGAGGAUAGGCAGGAGGCAUCGAUCCGGAGGCGCAAGCCCCCGGGGAGCCGCCCUUGGAAUACUGCCCUCGCGCGACCGGCGUCCUAACCCGAGGCCGUCAACCGGCUCGGGGACCGUGCCAGGCGGGCAGUUUGACUGGGGCGGUCGCCUCCUAAAGGGUAACGGAGGCGCGCGAAGGUCCGCUCGGGACGGUCGGCAACCGUCCUUUUGAAUGCAAGAGUACAAGCGGGCUUGACUGCGAGGCCCACAAGCCGAGCAGGUGCGAAAGCAGGCUCUAGUGAUCCGGCGGCCCCGAGUGGGUGGGCCGUCGCUCAACGGAUAAAAGGUACUCCGGGGAUAACAGGCUGAUCUUGCCCAAGAGUCCACAUCGACGGCAAGGUUUGGCACCUCGAUGUCGGCUCAUCGCAUCCUGGGGCUGGAGCAGGUCCCAAGGGUACGGCUGUUCGCCGUUUAAAGCGGUACGCGAGCUGGGUUCAGAACGUCGUGAGACAGUUCGGUCCCUAUCCUCCGUGGGCGCAGGAGAAUCGAUGGAGGCUGCCCCCAGUACGAGAGGACCGGGGUGGACGCACCUCCGGUGAACCGGUUGUCGACCAACGGCACGGCCGGGUAGCCGCGUGCGGCGCGGAUAACCGCUGAAGGCAUCUAAGCGGGAAGCCGUUCCAGGGAUUAGUUCUCCUUCCGGUAAGGGCCCAGGUAGACUACCUGGUCGAUAGACGGCAGGUGCAAGGCUGGCGACAGCCUCAGCCGAGCCGCACUAAUCGCCCGAGCUCUUCCGGAA